Molecule: long non-coding RNA, 255 nt
Filed under: Gossypium raimondii (Peruvian cotton)
Lineage: Eukaryota; Viridiplantae; Streptophyta; Magnoliopsida; Malvales; Malvaceae
Description: long non-coding RNA (GRAI_LNC009956)
Source: RNAcentral
UCUACAUACCGUCCUCUCUAUAUUAGCAUCAAUAUUAUAAAUUUUUUUUUUUACAGAUUUUCAUCUAAAGUUUUUCAACUUAUCCCUAGCAGCUUGCAACUCCUCAUCCCCCUCACCAUCUGAAAGACAUCUAACAUUAGUCAUAUAAGCUUCAUCAACAUCCUACCAAUCAACAUUCUCCCGCUCACCAUCCGCCUCAAAAUCCCCUUGACAACACCCUUACCAUCCCCUCCCCCCCUUGUUAGACCCUUCAAU